UUGUGUUUGAUGAAUCUAACACUCUUUCUGAGAGACAUGAACAUGAAGAUGAAGCCAUUGGACUAGUGAGACAAUUGACUGAAGCCACAAUACAAUUCAAGGUGGCAUCAAAGGAAUGAGAAGGUGAUGGAACAUGUCCUUUCAUACAAGGCAACCUGAUAGGCGGAACCAAUCUGAGAGAAACUGCACAAAUACUCUGAAGGAUCCUGUACCUGAACCUGUUCCUCUGCAAGAUAACAAUGAAGAAGAAACUAGCAGGAACCAGCUGGUGGGGAAAUCUUACAAGUACCUGAGUUCUCACCCCAUUGAGAACAUCAUGAAUGAUCCAACAUCUAGAGUCAAGACUAGAUCACAAUUGAAGUACCUGUGUGUAUUUGUUGCCUUUCUGUCCCUCAGUGACCUAAAAAUAUAAUCUAACAUUUGGGGUCAAGACUAGAUCACAACUGAAGAACCUAUGUGCAUUUGAUUCCUUUCUGUCCCUCAUUGACCUUAAAAAUGUGAAUAAAGCUCUACAAGAUGCAUAUUGGGUCAAUGCUAUGCAAGAUGAGCUCAAUCAGUUUGAAAGAAGCUAAGUCUGGAACUUGUUCCAAUACCUAAGGACAUGUCAUUCAUUGGGACAAAAUGGGUCUUCAGGAACAAACUAGAUGAAGAUGGAACUGUUACAAGAAACAAGGCAAGGUUGGUGGUUCAAGGCUAUAGUCGAAAGGAAGGCAUUGAUUAAGAUGAGACUAUUGCUCCAGUUGCUAGACUUGAAGCAAUUAGACUUCUUAUAGCCGUUACAAAACAUAUGGAAUUCACUCUUCAUCAAAUGGAUGUCAAAAAUGCCUUCCUAAAUAGCUAUCUCAAGGAAGAAGUGUUUUUGAAACAACCUCUAGGAUUCAAAAGCAAAGAAUGUCCUGAUCAUAUGUACAAGUUAGAUAAAACUCUCUACGGUCUCAAAAAGACCCCAAGAGCUUGGUAUGAAAGAUUGUCAAAGUUCCUUCUGGAGCAUGGGUACAAAAGAGGUAAAAUUGACAGCACUUUGUUCCUAAGGGAAAAAGGUAAAGAUCUUCUUGUUGUAUAAAUAUAUGUUAAUGACAUAAUAUUUGGGGCCACUACAGAUAGAUUUAGUAAGGACUUUGUUAAGCUAAUGGGAAGUGAGUUUGAAAUGAGCAUGAUGGGUGAACUCAAUUUCUUCUUGGGGCUACAGAUUAAAUAAAGUCCAGAUGGAACUAUGAUCCAUAA
RNAcentral lists this long non-coding RNA (1224 nucleotides) under Nicotiana benthamiana. Its description in RNAcentral is "long non-coding RNA (NBEN_LNC012282)". Lineage: Eukaryota; Viridiplantae; Streptophyta; Magnoliopsida; Solanales; Solanaceae. The record is from RNAcentral.